This is a non-coding RNA of Myotis davidii, 71 nucleotides long. The record is from Rfam. Lineage: Eukaryota; Metazoa; Chordata; Mammalia; Chiroptera; Vespertilionidae.
GCCAGAGUGGCUCAGUGGUUGAGCAUUGAUCCAGGAAUCAAGAGUUCCUGGUUUGAUUCCAGGUCAAGGCA